RNAcentral lists this ribosomal RNA (466 nucleotides) under uncultured bacterium. RNAcentral describes it as "bacterial SSU rRNA". It matches the Rfam family "Bacterial small subunit ribosomal RNA", at positions 917 to 1382 of the family's 1533-position model. The record is from RNAcentral.
GGGCCCGCACAAGCGGUGGAGCAUGUGGUUUAAUUCGACGCAACGCGCAGAACCUUACCAGCCCUUGACAUCCCGUGACCGGCCCAGAGAUGGGUUUUCCCCGCAAGGGGCACGGAGACAGGUGCUGCAUGGCUGUCGUCAGCUCGUGUCGUGAGAUGUUGGGUUAAGUCCCGCAACGAGCGCAACCCUUGCCUUCAGUUGCCAUCAUUUAGUUGGGCACUCUGGAGGGACUGCCGGCGGCAAGCCGGAGGAAGGUGGGGAUGACGUCAAGUCCUCAUGGCCCUUACGGGCUGGGCUACACACGUGCUACAAUGGUGGCGACAGAGGGCACAAGCGAGAGCGCGAGCUUUAGCAAAUCCUCAAAAGCCAUCUCAGUUCAGAUUGCACUCUGCAACUCGGGUGCAUGAAGGUGGAAUCGCUAGUAAUCGCAGAACAGCAGGCUGCGGUGAAUACGUUCCCGGGCCUU